AUCCUGGUGGUCCAGUGGUUAAGACCCCACAUUCCCAAUGCAGGGGGUCCAGGUUUGAUUCCUGGUCAGGGAA
RNAcentral lists this transfer RNA (73 nucleotides) under Ovis aries (sheep). It matches the Rfam family "tRNA". Rfam says of the family: Transfer RNA (tRNA) molecules are approximately 80 nucleotides in length. Their secondary structure includes four short double-helical elements and three loops (D, anti-codon, and T loops). The record is from Rfam by way of RNAcentral. Lineage: Eukaryota; Metazoa; Chordata; Mammalia; Artiodactyla; Bovidae.